AGGUAAUAGGAUAUUAUUAGAACCAGUGAUGGAGGCGCAAGAAGCUUUGGAAAGAAGUUUGAUAAGAGGAGACGAGUGAUUUCCCCAGCGUUUAACACAGCGUGAAGGAUGGAAGGUCACCAUUAUUUCCAGUAUGGUGAUGGUAAUAGUGACCGUAGUUACCGUAGUAGGUUCAAAUGCACUGAUAACAGCACAUGGACAAAUUCAAGAUAAUAACUAGAUAUAAAAACGGUAUAUUAUAAAAACGUGCUUCAAUAACACAUCUUAUGAAGAAUUCUACAACCAAAGUUUGGAAAACAAGCCUUUAUUAAAACAAGUUUAUGGAUCAGUCAAAUAUAUACCUAGUAAAAUCAA
This is a long non-coding RNA of Sipha flava (yellow sugarcane aphid), 354 nucleotides long. RefSeq lists it as uncharacterized. The record is from RefSeq and is a predicted model, not a curated record. NCBI's taxonomy places the organism in Eukaryota, Metazoa, Arthropoda, Insecta, Hemiptera, Aphididae. The transcript is spliced from 3 exons.